This 253-nucleotide ribosomal RNA is filed under the name uncultured bacterium. Its description in RNAcentral is "partial 16S ribosomal RNA". It matches the Rfam family "Bacterial small subunit ribosomal RNA", at positions 524 to 776 of the family's 1533-position model. The record is from RNAcentral.
UACGGAGGGUGCAAGCGUUAUCCGGAUUCACUGGGUUUAAAGGGUGCGUAGGUGGGUUGAUAAGUCAGUGGUGAAAUCCCCGAGCUUAACUUGGGAACUGCCAUUGAUACUAUUGAUCUUGAAUACCGUGGAGGUCAGCGGAACAUGUCAUGUAGCGGUGAAAUGCUUAGAUAUGACAUAGAACACCAAUUGCGAAGGCAGCUGGCUACGCGAAUAUUGACACUGAUGCACGAAAGCGUGGGGAUCAAACAGG